Long non-coding RNA from Galleria mellonella (greater wax moth), 588 nucleotides. RefSeq lists it as uncharacterized. The record is from RefSeq and is a predicted model, not a curated record. The transcript has 3 exons. Lineage: Eukaryota; Metazoa; Arthropoda; Insecta; Lepidoptera; Pyralidae.
CACAGUCUUAGAGUAACUAAAAAUUCAAACAGUAGGUAAUCUGGUUUAACGUCCCCAUUGCUAGCAAUAUAACCUAUAUUCACGUCGACCAUCACUUGGUUCCCCCUGGAAACCAUCGCGAUUAAUUCCUAAUAAAUUCCUCGCAAUAGGCUUACUAAUCGGGCUUCAUCCUCACCUAUCACCCUUUACUGGUACCCCUAUAGCACAGGCGGACUUACCAUUCCAUUUUCACGAUGUUAAAAAGUAUGCUGCGUUAGGUGAUAUUUUUGUCCGAAGCUUGGUAACAGGGUUGUAACAAGUCUAUGGCAUGGUGGAACUAUGGCCCUAUAGUUGUGGCCAUAGUGAUGUUUUUACUGAUGGGAACGUACUUCGAAAGGAGAAUUGAAGCCACUAUUAGACGCCACAUCGAUCGACGGCGAACCUCUCUAACAUCUGAAGAGCCUUCCACUCCCACUACAAGAAACCUUCAAGCUGAUAAUGAAAGAGUCCAUAGAAUAAUAUAGAAUCGUAAAAAUCAAAACACGGCCAUGUUUAAUUUAUUGUAACCGAUAUGACAAUUUCGUUCGUCAUAAAUAUUAGAAUAUUAUA